This 581-nucleotide ribosomal RNA is filed under the name uncultured bacterium. RNAcentral's name for it is "partial 16S ribosomal RNA". It matches the Rfam family "Bacterial small subunit ribosomal RNA", at positions 355 to 931 of the family's 1533-position model. The record is from RNAcentral.
UGGGGAAUUUUGGACAAUGGGCGAAAGCCUGAUCCAGCAAUGCCGCGUGUGUGAAGAAGGCCUUCGGGUUGUAAAGCACUUUUGUCCGGAAAGAAAUCCUUGGCUCUAAUACAGUCGGGGGAUGACGGUACCGGAAGAAUAAGCACCGGCUAACUACGUGCCAGCAGCCGCGGUAAUACGUAGGGUGCAAGCGUUAAUCGGAAUUACUGGGCGUAAAGCGUGCGCAGGCGGUUUGCUAAGACCGACGUGAAAUCCCGGGCUCAACCUGGGAACUGCAUUGGUGACUGGCAGGCUAGAGUAUGGCAGAGGGGGGUAGAAUUCCACGUGUAGCAGUGAAAUGCGUAGAGAUGUGGAGGAAUACCGAUGGCGAAGGCAGCCCCCUGGGCCAAUACUGACGCUCAUGCACGAAAGCGUGGGGAGCAAACAGGAUUAGAUACCCUGGUAGUCCACGCCCUAAACGAUGUCAACUAGUUGUUGGGGAUUCAUUUCCUAGUAACGUAGCUAACGCGUGAAGUUGACCGCCUGGGGAGUACGGUCGCAAGAUUUAAAACUCAAGGAAUUGACGGGUCAUAGCUGUUCCU